GCAAACUUGGUCAUUUAGAGGAAGUAAAAGUCGUAACAAGGUUUCCGUAGGUGAACCUGCGGAAGGAUCAUUAAAAUAUCCGAGUUCCCCGCCGAUAAGGUGGGGGGCGUUCACUUUAUCACCCUUUGUGAAACUUCAACCGUUGCUUCGGCAGCACCGCGCGGUACUGGCGACCGCCGGGUAAGGCUGCCAGAAGCCCGCAACGAAACCAGUUGAUGAAAUGUCAUGCCGUCUGAUACCUUUGUUGUUUGAGAAAUCAAAUCAUAUUAAAACUUUCAGCAACGGAUCUCUUGGUUCCCGCAUCGAUGAAGAACGCAGC
RNAcentral lists this unclassified non-coding RNA (319 nucleotides) under uncultured fungus. Its description in RNAcentral is "partial contains small subunit ribosomal RNA, internal transcribed spacer 1, and 5.8S ribosomal RNA". The stretch from base 1 to 73 matches the Rfam family "Eukaryotic small subunit ribosomal RNA", at positions 1759 to 1831 of the family's 1831-position model. The record is from RNAcentral. Lineage: Eukaryota; Fungi.